GCGGCAGCCCCGAGCAAGGAAAACAAACCAGAUCCAGAUUCAGUCAGAAACGAAUCCUUUAAAAGGAGAAGAUAAACUCACCCUCUCUCCCUCUCUUUUUCUCUCGCUCACUCACUCUCUCCCUCUCCUGGAAUAAAAGCAGAGGAGGGAAAAGGCUCUGUUAACAAAGAGCAGAUCCAGAAAAUGAGGACUGGUGGUGUGUUUGUGUUGCUUAGCGGUGGGUGGAACUGGAGGUGGGGUCCGGCACACUCAACCAGACCAGAGGAAACACCAAAAGUCCGGAUCAGAUCUUUUCCUGCCAAGCUGGGAAACUGAAAGAGAAGGAGCUCUCCAUCCCCUGUGUCAUCCCCUGUGUCAUCUCCACAUGUUUCCCUGUGUGUUAUUCCAUGAGUUAUGGUUUUGGGUUUGGUUUGUUAUUAGUUUCCCCAGUUUAGGUUUAUGUUUAGUUCUGUCCUCGCUUUUGUUAUUUUCACCGUCCACAAUAAAGCUCCCGUGCAUCACAGCAAGUGCCUGCACUUUGGGUUCUUCUUCACAACACCACACGACUGCUGCCCCAGCCGUGACAGAAUUACAAGUUUAAAAUGUCUCAAGUAUGCAAAUGUUAACUUGAAAAUUCAUGUACAGCUAAAAUCAAAAACGUACACAAAAAUGACCAGAAUGGCAUUACAUUUCCAUGACUGUCAUCGAGGUGCAUCAUGAACAACUGGUGGUUAAGGGCAUGCUCACAUUACGUGGACAUUUCAUCAUCAUCACCACUGGAAGCUGUUUUCAAGGCGAGUAAAACUGGUUAGAACUACAAGGAAAAAAGAUACAAAAGCUGAAACGCGUUUUGAGUUUGCUGAGGUAUAAACUGUGGUUUUCUUGAGACUGCAAACUUUACUAAAAAGUUUGUUUCAGCUAUGUUAAUACUAGUCAACCGUUACAUAAGAUGAUCCCGACACCCUUUUUUAUGGCGCACGGACCAAAUUAAAAGCAGAUUAAGUGUUGUAAUAAACCUGUCUGUUUUCCCACACGUAAUCACUUCAGUUGUUAUUUACUGUAGCCAUCAACAG
Astatotilapia calliptera (eastern happy) is the source of this 1052-nucleotide long non-coding RNA. Lineage: Eukaryota; Metazoa; Chordata; Actinopteri; Cichliformes; Cichlidae. The record is from Ensembl.